Molecule: long non-coding RNA, 3627 nt
Filed under: Sus scrofa (pig)
Lineage: Eukaryota; Metazoa; Chordata; Mammalia; Artiodactyla; Suidae
Description: lncRNA (ENSSSCG00000055635.1)
Source: RNAcentral
AAGCAAGCCUCGCAUCAGACAUGCCAGUGAAUAAGUAGAAAUAAUCUAUUGUCAUUAAAAAAGUCACAAAGGUGAAAGGAAAUAAAACUGAGGGCAGAUUAGAAUGAUUUAGACAUUUUAUUUAGUAAAAUGCUAAGAAUAAUUUUAGCUGCCUGAAUUUUAUAUACGUUUUUUAACAUACAAGAAUCAUAUAUUGCAUUUUUCUCUGAAUCAAAAAACCAAAGCUAAACGUACUUUGAUAAAGAGUUCACAAGUGGGAAGUAUCUCUCACCUAUGGAGUGAGGUGAAGCUGAGCCUAAAUACGUUUUAUAUUCUCUGAACAUUGAGGUCUGUCUCUCGAGAGAAUAAGUUUGUUGAGACUAUUAAAAGUCAACCCUGGUUACUUUAAAAAAACUCUUAUAUGGCUUUUUAAACUUUGGAGCCAGCCAGUGCAGAGAUAGGAUGAAAAUAAGUAUUUUUCUUAUGAAUUUAAAAUCUUAGAAUAUAUUACUUCUUAAAAUAUUUGAAUCAUUUUUCAGUAGAAAUAUAUAGGAUUUCUGUUUCCUAUACUAUCCCAAUUACAUGUGUAGAUGAACUUUAAUUUUUAACCUUGAACUUUAAUUUUUUUUUCUCUAUUGGUUAUACAUGUUUCUGCUCACUUGCUGACUGGUACUUUUUUGUGUGUGACAGAGCACAUUUUCAUCCUAACUUUAUCAUUUCUAUUUCAGAUUCACUUAACUAAGAAGAGAAAUAUAUUAUCUCUUUGCUAUACUACUACUGUUUAAAUAGCAUGGACCUUAACACACAUGUAGACUCUCUGAGAAAACAGAAGUAGCUAGGCAACUGCAGUUGCUGGAGUGAACGGAAGAAAAAAAACUCCAGGUCUAAUAAGAUAACUCUUUCCUUUAUUUCUUCCUUGGGCCAGGUAUGGUUCCUUAGACAAACUUCCUUCCCUACUGCCACAGUGAACCAACAAUUUUCUCACCCUGUGCUGUCCAGUUGUUCUACAGCUCUCUCUCAACUGUUCUUUGAAACCUCUAGAAGGGAAGUAGAAGUAGAAUUUCCUGCAUUUGUUUAAUAAGCUAACUAAAGGAAAAUAUUCUAGUAGAAAAUGUGAAUGACAAGGAUGUUGGAAGACAACAGAUAAAACUAUUAAUAUUUUUCCCUGAAUUAAAUUUUCCUGCAAUGGUAGAGGUUCUUCUUGUUCAUUGCUUUUUCUAUAGUAAAAUACAUUCAGUUGGAGUAAAUAGAGACAUGAUAAUUGAUGCAAAAGAAAGCUUGGAUAUUCAUCAUGUCUAAGUUGCCUUAAUUAUAACUUGUCUCAAUGAGUUCAGAACUAAGGAUAUCACAUAACUACUAAGUGAAAUUUAGUGUGAGAUAUAAUAUGGGUAUGAUUUUUGGAAAGGAAAUUUCCAGUUUUGUGAAGCAGCUAGGAAUUAACUGUCAGUAGAGGUACAAAUGAGAAACACUGAUAUUAUUGUUGUUUCUUUUAAGAUCCAUGACACAAGAAGCUUUGAAUAAUAAGUAAAUGAUGUGAACAUCACGUGUGGGUAGAUCCAGCUUUAACAAUUAGUUGUCAGUUGCACCCUCAGAAACCCAAAUAGAACAUAGAAAAAUGGGCUUAGGGUAUGUAAGGAGUUCCAAGCGCUGAAGGCUGAAAUCUGUGUAAUUUUACAGGAAUGCUCUGAAAACUCUUUGAUUGAUAGGAAAUUCCCUCUUUACAAAAGAUGGCAGGCAGAUCUUGAAAAACUGAGAUCCCCAUUUGAAGCAGCUGCAAAUCAACACUAACCAAAAUCUGAGUAAUCACUUCAGUAGCUUGGUACUGUUUGAGGGUUGUGAGUAACAAACCAACCAACCAGAAAGUCUUCCAAAGAAACAUUUGAGAGAAGUCAGGAAAAGGAGUAUAGAUGAAGAACAAACAGCACCAUUUAAACUUCAUUGCGUAUCUGGAAUGACUUUGAGGAGUACCAUUUUGUAGUUUCCUGAGUCUGUAUAAUUGUCUUAAUAUUUCCUACAUAUACCAUCUGCUACUGGGCUAGCAAGUAGAAUUCACUUUGUAAUAUAUAUGUAUAUUUUUGUUGUUGUUGUUGUUCUUUUAGGGCUGUGCAUGUGGCGUAUGAAAGUUCCCAGGCUAAGGGUCCAGUCAGAGCUGCAGCUGCCAACCUAUACCACAGCCACAGCGAGGCCAUAUCCAAGCUGGGUUUGUGAUCUAAACCUCGGCUUGCGGCAUGCCAGAUCCUUAACCCACUGAGUGGGGCCAGGGAUCAAACCCACAUCCUCAUAGAUACUAAUUGGGUUCAUUACUGCUGAGCCACAGUGGGAACUCCAGUAAAAUAUAUUUUUUUAAAAGAAUGGUAUAUUUAUUUCUAAGACAGUAGGGCAGACAGAAGUUAAAAAUAAAUGUAUUUUUCAGUUGAUAUGGCCAAAGACUAGGCAAGUAACUGAGCUGGUAGCAGAGAAAAAUAGAAAUAAGGUGAACUAAGAAUAGAAUACAAAAGAAUAUGUGAUAGUGUGGGUCAGUAGACUUGACAGGUGGGAAGCUCAUGUGUUCCCUUAUUUUUUUGUCUGCACCAAUAUUAUGUAAUUAGACAUUUAUAUGGUACCCCAUGAAUCUGUUCCUUGGUAUGCUUGUAGAAUGGUUGGUAUUAUAGAAAAACAUAUGCUUAUUUUUCACACUUAUGCAAAGUGUGUUCUAAUAGGAACUUUAUGAUUUACAUUCCAAUUAAUAGUCUGAUGACAUUUAUCUUAAAGAAUGAUUUACAUCUACUUUCUAUCUUUUGCAUUUCCUUUUGUCUUCAUUUCCAUUCCAUGAAAUUUUGUGAGAUAUGGUCUCUCCUUAAGUUUAUUUAAAUUUCAUUUCAGCAAAAAGCUAUUUGGGCAAAUAGCUUUAUUAGCUAUUUUAUAAUUUAUUAGCUAUUUUCCUUAAAAAUGUCCCCGGCAAAAGUCUGUUGUAUCAUUGCCAAAUAUAUAUCUCCAAAUUCUCUUUUAUGCAAAAAAUAUUUCAUACUGUAAUUGGUCACAGUGUAAAGCUGGUAUUUAGAAAAUAUAUUUCUCAUAUUUACAGCCAUAAUAUUAGAAGCAUAAAAUUUAAAAGAUGAAAAUGUGUUUUAUUUUCAGCUAAGGGCAUGAUGUAUUUGUAUUGCUAUUAUAAAUAUCUAUCUAAAGAUAAAUUUUCCUCAGAAGUUGAAGAUCUGCCACAUAAAAUGUGUUCAUAUAUAAUGAUCUUUUAUAUAAUUUACAUUGGGCAGGUAUAACACAUAGUCUUAAUAAAGGAAUAUGUGUUUAUUUUAUGUUGUUAAUACCUGCGUAAACCUUCAAAUUACCAACUGGUUUACUGAUAUUGUAUUUUAUAGAGUAUGAUCAACAUGUGAAUGUUAAAAACCUGUGCUUCAGCUGUUUUCUAUUUGAGCUAAAAAUACAAUCUGAAUUUUGCAUAAGAGUUGUUGAAUCCACAUUUGUCUCAAUACCAAAGGGGUCAGAGAGAAUCUCUCCUGCUUAGGCAGGAGUCAAGGUGCCAGAUGUGCAGUAGGGUCUAACCUGAAUUAGACAUAGGUAGCCAUUGUUCUUUGAGCCUUUCUAAAAUAAGAUGUAAAAUCACCAGGAUAGGUUAACCAUACUACAGAUAAAGUUAUCCACAAAAGUAUUUAU